RNAcentral lists this transfer RNA (74 nucleotides) under Bacillota bacterium. RNAcentral's name for it is "tRNA-Gln". It matches the Rfam family "tRNA". From Rfam's summary of the family: Transfer RNA (tRNA) molecules are approximately 80 nucleotides in length. Their secondary structure includes four short double-helical elements and three loops (D, anti-codon, and T loops). Further hydrogen bonds mediate the characteristic L-shaped molecular structure. tRNAs have two regions of fundamental functional importance: the anti-codon, which is responsible for specific mRNA codon recognition, and the 3' end, to which the tRNAs corresponding amino acid is attached (by aminoacyl-tRNA synthetases). tRNAs cope with the degeneracy of the genetic code in two manners: having more than one tRNA (with a specific anti-codon) for a particular amino acid; and 'wobble' base-pairing, i.e. permitting non-standard base-pairing at the 3rd anti-codon position. RNAcentral also lists the same sequence under 3 other names. The record is from RNAcentral. Lineage: Bacteria; Bacillati; Bacillota.
AGCGGGAUGGUGUAAAGGUAGCACUAGUGACUCUGACUCACUCUGUACGGGUUCGAAUCCUGUUCCCGCUGCCA